This is a long non-coding RNA of Bubalus bubalis (water buffalo), 3081 nucleotides long. RefSeq lists it as uncharacterized. The record is from RefSeq and is a predicted model, not a curated record. Lineage: Eukaryota; Metazoa; Chordata; Mammalia; Artiodactyla; Bovidae. The transcript is spliced from 4 exons.
AGAUUCUGUUUUUCUGGGGCCUAUUAAAAUGUUUGAUUCAGAAUUAAAUCCUAUUUUCUGGGGCCUAUAGGAUUUAAUUCUGAAUGCUACAGAAUUCAAAAAGAAAACCACGAAAUUGAAUAGGUGUUCAAUUAAAAUGUCUGCAAAACUUAAUACUAUGUCAACUUCAUUGAUGGCUAAAUUUAGUAUUCAUAAAAAUUUCAUUAAUUGGACACCAGUUUGAAGGGUAGGUCUUUCUCUCCACAGGAAUUCCUAGGUGCAUGUGAUGAUUGCCAGGAAGUCUUAGCCACUGUCAAUAAAACGAGGUACCCAUGGCCAAGUCAUUGCAACGGCAAAAGGAUUUUUAAAGAUCUUGUCAGCAGAGACUUCCCUGGUGGUCCAGUGGUUAGGACCUCACCAUCCAGUGCAGGGGGCUCAGGUUCGAUCCCUGGUGGGGGAACUAAGAUCCCACAUGCCACGGGCCUACGGAGCCCUUGUGGGCAGCUAGGACCCCGUGCAGCCAAAAAUAAAUAAAUACAUAUUUUUUUAAUAUCAUGUCAACAGUCUUAGUGACGAUGAGAGAGGUAGGUACAUUUGAAUACGUGUGAUGUGAUAGGGGGAGUCUCCAAAAGUAGGGGUGCCCACGUGUCAAAAUAGCACAGCACUUGGGACACCUUGGGGCCAGGGAGGCAGCAUUCAGGGGAAUUCUGCUCGGUACCAUCCCCCAGUCCCCUUCGGGUGGCCCAAGUCCUGCCCGGCUCCCAGCACCUCCUUGGCUAAGCCCUUACCUCUCUUUUAAGUUUCUAUCAUAGCAACAGCCCCAGGGCCAGAUCCCUAAUUGCCAGCUUCUUCUAAGUGCCAGGAAAAAAAAAAAAAACCUCUCCAGCCCUCCCCCCACUCUGCAACACAAGCCCAGGGGGUCAGGCAGGUUCAAAAGGUGAAAUAAAUGAAUCUUUACACAUUAUAAGGACCCAAGCAACAUUCUCUGUGGCAUUAGUGCCUGAAAUGGCAGCAAGUAAAAGCAGGUGUGCUGAGCGCCCUGUCAGCUAACGACACUGAUAAGCCUGCCAUGCCCGGUUCUGCUUCAUUUCAAACAGACUGCUGGAAAAAAAAGGAGGGGAAAGCCAGAGCAGAAAUAAUUGCUGGAGCUUCCAGUGAGCUGAGGGCCUGCAGGCAGAGAUCAACGCUCCUGAUUUCAUCCUCUUCCUUUUAUUUCUAUAACCUUAAACGUUCUGCUAUUAUAAAAGUCAUCAUGUCAGCUUUCUCCCCAGCCUCUCCGGCUGCCCAUUUUCAAAUUGUAUCAAUUGGUAAGGCUUUGGGGCUGUAGGAUUUUCAUCUUGAUUUAUGGUUCCUGUGCUUUUAAAGAUGAAGCAAACUCAACUAGCCUGACUCAGGCAUGGAGCCACGCUGUCCUGGAAACCGGAGGAGUGAGGCAUGGGGGAGCCUGACAGGAAGUGAGGAUUCUGGGACUUCAAAUACACACAUUAGAAAAAACAAGCAACAUCUGCAAACAAUUCUGAGCUCUGUGAGGACAGACAGCAUGAUGGCUUCAUUCACCACUGUCUACACCUGCACCCUUGUCUACACCUGCAUGCACUGUUCAGUAUAGUAGCCACUGUUCCUUUGAAAUGAGGCAAGUUGAAUUCAGAAGGGCUGGAAGAGUCAAAGAAACACUGGAUUUCAAAGAUGUAGAACGAAGACAACGUAAAAGGAAACUGAGAAGAAUGCAAUUCCGUGGACUCAAGUUUUAAAGAACUUCUGGAAGCUUCAGAAAUAGGUUGAAAAACACUCCAUCCAGUGACAAAGAUCCUGCAUUGAGUAUCAGGCAUGGAGGAACCCUGAGAAGAACCUGAACACUUCAAGGAGUCCAGGAGAACCUCUAAUACCAGAAGGGCCACGCUAAGGAUGAGGAUGACCCAGAAGUAGCCAAUGGAGGCAUUUGAACACAGCCCUUUUUAAGAUUCUAAUGACAAUCCAGCCACUACCAGUGAUGGGUGGGGUCACCAGGGUGAAAUUGAUGUGCGCUUCCUGUCUCCUGGGCUCCCUGUGGUCCCCAGGCUCUGGCUCCUUGCCUUAUAGAUAGUGAUGGGUGGUAAAGACCCAGGGAAAAGUCAUCAUUGUGUCAUGCUUUUUCAAAGCAUAAAUUUUUCACAGCCCUUGUAUGAAAAAAAAAAAAAAAAAAGCAGCAUCUUCAUUCUCAGAUUCUAAAAUGCUGAAUUUAGAGAUUUUUGUUUUCAAGUUGGAGGUGGGAGAUGGGAACCAGAAGCCAAGCCAUAUCUUCAUUUUGAAAGUGAAGCCAACCCAGUUUUCUCAUUUUUCUUUCUGGUUUUUGUUUUUCCAGCGGGGGGGCGGGGGAAAAAAAAAAUCUCUCUCUCUCUCUCUCUCUAGGAAUGUCUUUUGAGUUCUUUCCCUAAUUCAUAUCAAAUAAAAAUCAAUUAGUCUCAUGUUUUACAAAGUGCUUUGAGACAUACAUAAUUUCAUUUGCCCCUCAAACUCAUGCUUGUAAUUAGGUAGCCCAGGUAUUAUUGUGCCCAUUAAACAGACGAUCAUUGGGAAAACUGAGGCCCAGAGAAUUUAAGUGGCUUGCCCACAGUCAUAGGGUGGCAGAGCUGACUCUCAAGUCCAGAACUUCUAAGAGUGGUAUUCUUAUUCCUUCACCAAUGACCAUAAAACGUUGACCUAAUAGCCUUCAUGAAGGAAAAGCCUUGGCGUCAUUCAUGGGAGCUGAGAUGGUCCUAAAAGAGUGAACAGAAUGAAGAGGAGCGGCUAUUACACAUGAAAUUUUCUGUUGAGAGCUCGCCUUGGUCUUCGACUCAUUCUCUUUAAUUAAUCGGGAGAGUAGUGGGAGCUGCCAUCGCUCCUGCCUGGUCUAUUCCCUGCCUCCUGGUCCACUCCUGGGAGCCUUGGAGGAUGCAGCGGGCAGCCCAUCACUCAAGCAGAAGCAGCCCAAGUGACUUCACUGCGGAGGGACCUGGAGAUGGGUGGUCGGAGGCCCCAGGGAGGGAAGGUAUCUGCCCUCUUAAUGCAGAUGAGGUCUCCAAACCUCUCCCGUGGGACUUGCCCGUGGCUGAGGACAAGGCUCUCUGAACUCUGGAGUUAGUC